ACGCGAAGAACCUUACCUNGGGCUUGAACUACUCGUGGUAGAUCGAUGGAAACAUUGGUCGACCCGCAAGGGAGCGAGCAGAGGUGCUGCAUGGUUGUCGUCAGCUCGUGUCGUGAGAUGUUGGGUUAAGUCCCGCAACGAGCGCAACCCCUACUCGAUGUUGCUAAUUCCGUAAGGAAUGCACUCUUCGAGAACUGCCUUCGAUAAGAAGGAGGACGGUGGGGACCACUUCAAAUCCCCAUGGACCUUAUGUCCAGGGCCUACACACAUGCUACCUAAGCGACGCACGACAGUCCAACAUAGAAGCAAGCGCAACCAUACCACAUAACAUCAGUAUUCUCUCCUAAUAACAGGCAUAAUCUACGGAAACUUACGAAACUCUAAACCAUAACACCUUCUAAUACCACCACCAUCUACUAUACGCACCUCUCUCAAUACCACAUCACAUCCCGAAUUC
RNAcentral lists this ribosomal RNA (457 nucleotides) under uncultured bacterium. RNAcentral's name for it is "bacterial SSU rRNA". The stretch from base 1 to 275 matches the Rfam family "Bacterial small subunit ribosomal RNA", at positions 959 to 1228 of the family's 1533-position model. The record is from RNAcentral.